RNAcentral lists this long non-coding RNA (1554 nucleotides) under Cinara cedri. Lineage: Eukaryota; Metazoa; Arthropoda; Insecta; Hemiptera; Aphididae. The record is from RNAcentral.
GUAACGCGUACCUAUAUAUAGUAUACGAUAUUAUUACAACCUAAGCCGCCCGACGAUCGUAACGGAACGUUUCGUAAUGCGACUGCGACGACGAAUUUUAUAACCGCAAAAAAAAAAAAACACUACUAACAGGUGUAUAUAUUUACGAUUGCGAUAGAUGCGGCAGUACCUCGAGUAUAGUUGCUAUCGUAUACGCUCGCCAAUCUCCCGUUUUGCGUUUUAUAUCGGAUUCGUGAUUGUUUAACCGCCGCGGUCAUAUCAUUAUAAUACUAAGUAACGGCGGUAUUAUUAUCAUUACGCUAACAUCGUUAUUAUUGGCCUCGGUCAAUAUUUUACACGUUAUCCGCGCGAGGGUAUUCCGUUUGAAAAACGAAAAAAUCGUCGGCAUAAAUAACGGAUACCCUCCUAUUUUAUCGUUAUUCGAACGAAGGGCGCGGGGAAAAAACCGGAAAAGUCACUUAUUUUUGUCAAUCCGAGAAAAAUGUGUUUUCAAUUUCAAAACGUAACGAUUUUUGUUUACAAAGUAAAAAGUUCGGACUAAAUUAAACGCUAAAACUUUGAUGAUGGUAACCAUAGAACAAUAAUGUCAUAUUAUAUAGCCACGAGACAUUUCUCUGGUUAUCAGUUGACUUUUCUGUUUUUUCCCUGUAUCCUUCAAAUUUAUAAAGUUUUAUAGAUUGACCGUGGUUUUCCGAAUUAUUGUCUACGACUUUUGUACGAUUUGAAAUUAUAAUUUAAAACGGCCACGUUAAUGACAAUGAUUUUUCCACUGACUUACUGUCCGAUACCCGUUUAAGGAGAACAGGUAAAGCCGGAUAAAAGCGAGACGGGUCGGGUGCGAGGCGCUGGUUCAUUCCCACGUCGCCGACUCCCAUUUUGCCAACAACAUUUUAUUUUGUUAAUAUUUAUCUGUGACGUACGUUUAUCGAAGUAGGUUUACUCAUGAUUCCAUCCUACUAUAGCUCAUGUCAAAAAACUCGUUUUCGUUAUCGUUUUUACAGGGAUUACACUAGUUUUCUUAAAUUGUCACUGUACAAAACUGCAAAACUGUACUAAACUUAAAUUAUGAAAAAAAUAAGAAUAUUUCUUUUGAACAUCUAUAUAAUCGUUGAUUCAAUUCAACUGUUUUUGUAUUUUAAUACUAAAUUUAUAUAUUUACUGACGCUCAUGCCGCGAUUGCGGCGCUGGCAUUUCUUUAGUAAUAAUCUCAUUCCAACAAUAAUAUUUCAAUUCAAAAUAGUAAUAUAAUCGAUUUAUGUGUCGGCGAAAUGGGAAGAUUUUUAAUACCUUAUAAAACCGGUUUAUUUGCUGUAAAAUGGGAGCCGGCGACGUGGGAAGAUACGGAAGCGCCAGCGGACCCGUUCGUCCGCUCUCGUAUGCAAAUUUUCCGGCGGGUUUUCACGGGGAGGAUAACCGAUAAAAAAAAGUAUACAUUUUCUCCGAUAGAAGCGAACAAGUAAAAAAAUAUAUUGUUCGUCGAGUCUUAUACGAAUAACCACCGCACCGACGCCCUAAAGAAGCGACAAAAUGUCGUUAUCAUCGCGUAAUAUACCG